UGCUGAGGUAGGGGCCGCCUCUGAGC
This 26-nucleotide non-coding RNA is filed under the name Homo sapiens (human). The record is from RNAcentral. Lineage: Eukaryota; Metazoa; Chordata; Mammalia; Primates; Hominidae.